This 435-nucleotide ribosomal RNA is filed under the name uncultured Lachnospiraceae bacterium. RNAcentral describes it as "partial 16S ribosomal RNA". It matches the Rfam family "Bacterial small subunit ribosomal RNA", at positions 341 to 792 of the family's 1533-position model. The record is from RNAcentral. Lineage: Bacteria; Bacillati; Bacillota; Clostridia; Lachnospirales; Lachnospiraceae.
ACGGAAGGCAGCAGUGGGGAAUAUUGCACAAUGGGGGGAACCCUGAUGCAGCGACGCCGCGUGAGCGAAGAAGUAUUUCGGUAUGUAAAGCUCUAUCAGCAGGGAAGAAACAGGACGGUACCUGCACAAGAAGCCCCGGCUAACUACGUGCCAGCAGCCGCGGUAAUACGUAGGGGGCGAGCGUUAUCCGGAUUUACUGGGUGUAAAGGGAGCGUAGACGGCUGUGCAAGUCUGGAGUGAAACUCCGGGGCCCAACCCCGGAACUGCUCUGGAAACUGUGUGGCUCGAGUACCGGAGGGGCAGGCGGAACUCCUAGUGUAGCGGUGAAAUGCGUAGAUAUUAGGAAGAACACCGGCGGCGAAGGCGGCCUGCUGGACGGUAACUGACGUUGAGGCUCGAAAGCGUGGGGAGCAAACAGGAUUAGAUACCCUGGUA